CCCUUAGAUGUUCGGGGCCGCACGCGCGCUACACUGACGGAGGCAGCGAGCAUGUCCUUCGCCGAGAGGUGUGGGGAAUCUUGUGAGUCUCCGUCGUGCUGGGGAUAGAUGGUUGCAAUUGUCGAUCUUGAACGAGGAAUUCCUAGUAAGCGCGAGUCAUCAGCUCGCGCUGAUUACGUCCCUGCCCUUUGUACACACCGCCCGUCGCUACUACCGAUUGGAUGGUUUAGCGAGAGCCUUGGAUUGGAGCCCAGGUGGUCGGCAACGGCCGCUCGGGAUGCCGAGAAAUUGCUCCAGCUGACUCAUCUAGAGGAAGUAAAAGUCGUAACA
Molecule: ribosomal RNA, 330 nt
Filed under: uncultured eukaryote
Lineage: Eukaryota
Description: partial 18S ribosomal RNA
Rfam family: Eukaryotic small subunit ribosomal RNA
Source: RNAcentral